This 115-nucleotide long non-coding RNA is filed under the name Monodelphis domestica (gray short-tailed opossum). Its description in RNAcentral is "lncRNA (ENSMODG00000047938.1)". The record is from RNAcentral. Lineage: Eukaryota; Metazoa; Chordata; Mammalia; Didelphimorphia; Didelphidae.
GGCAGGAGCAACAGCUAGUGUCCCAGGACUUUUCUUCAGAUAAGGAGGAGGCAAAGGAGGAUUUCUCCACUUCAUUCAACAAGAAAAGAUUUUCUUAACUAGUCAUCUUGCUGUU